CGGAGGGUGCAAGCGUUAUCCGGAUACACUGGGUUUAAAGGGUGCGUAGGCGGGUAUGUAAGUCAGUGGUGAAAUCUCGAAGCUUAACUUCGAAACUGCCAUUGAUACUAUAUAUCUUGAAUAUUGUGGAGGUUUGCGGAAUAUGUCAUGUAGCGGUGAAAUGCUUAGAUAUGACAUAGAACACCUAUUGCGAAGGCGGCAGGCUACACAUAUAUUGACGCUGAGGCACGAAAGCGUGGGGAUCAAACAGGAUUAGAUACCCUGGUAGUCCACGCCCUAAACGAUGAUUACUCGACAUUUGUGAUACACUAUAAGUGUCUGAGCGAAAGCAUUAAGUAAUCCACCUGGGAAGUACGACCGCAAGAUUG
This 368-nucleotide ribosomal RNA is filed under the name uncultured organism. RNAcentral describes it as "bacterial SSU rRNA". It matches the Rfam family "Bacterial small subunit ribosomal RNA", at positions 526 to 896 of the family's 1533-position model. The record is from RNAcentral.